RNAcentral lists this ribosomal RNA (253 nucleotides) under uncultured bacterium. Its description in RNAcentral is "partial 16S ribosomal RNA". It matches the Rfam family "Bacterial small subunit ribosomal RNA", at positions 524 to 776 of the family's 1533-position model. The record is from RNAcentral.
UACAGAGGUCUCAAGCGUUGUUCGGAUUCAUUGGGCGUAAAGGGUGCGUAGGUGGCGCUGUAAGUCGGGUGUGAAAUUUCGGAGCUUAACUCCGAAACUGCAUUCGAUACUGCGGUGCUUGAGGACUGGAGAGGAGACUGGAAUUUAUGGUGUAGCAGUGAAAUGCGUAGAGAUCAUAAGGAAGACCAGUGGAGAAGGCGGGUCUCGGGACAGUUCCUGACACUGAGGCACGAAGGCCAGGGGAGCAAACGGG